CCUACGGGAGGCAGCAGUGGGGAAUAUUGGGCAAUGGGCGCAAGCCUGACCCAGCAACGCCGCGUGAAGGAAGAAGGCUUUCGGGUUGUAAACUUCUUUUAAGAGGGAAGAGCAGAAGACGGUACCUCUUGAAUAAGCCCCGGCUAACCACGGGCCAGCAGCCGCGGUAAUACGUAGGUGGCAAGCGGUGUCCGGAUUUACUGGGUGUAAAGGGCGUGUAGGCGGGCUGACAAGUCAGAUGUGAAAUUCCGGGGCUCAACCCCGGACCUGCAUUUGAAACUGUUGGUCUUGAGUAUCGGAGAGGCAGGCGGAAUUCCUAGUGUAGCGGUGAAAUGCGUAGAUAUUAGGAGGAACACCAGUGGCGAAGGCGGCCUGCUGGACGACAACUGACGGUGAGGCACGAAAGCGUGGGGAGCGAACAGGAUUAGAUACCCCAGUAGUC
This 442-nucleotide ribosomal RNA is filed under the name uncultured bacterium. Its description in RNAcentral is "partial 16S ribosomal RNA". It matches the Rfam family "Bacterial small subunit ribosomal RNA", at positions 338 to 795 of the family's 1533-position model. The record is from RNAcentral.